This 254-nucleotide ribosomal RNA is filed under the name uncultured bacterium. RNAcentral's name for it is "partial 16S ribosomal RNA". It matches the Rfam family "Bacterial small subunit ribosomal RNA", at positions 524 to 776 of the family's 1533-position model. The record is from RNAcentral.
UACGUAGGGGGCUAGCGUUGUCCGGAAUCAUUGGGCGUAAAGCGCGUGUAGGCGGUCCGGUAAGUCCGCUGUGAAAGUCGGGGGCUCAACCCUCGAAUGCCGGUGGAUACUGUCGGGCUAGAGUGCGGGAGAGGGAUGUGGAAUUCCAGGUGUAGCGGUGAAAUGCGCAGAUAUCAGAAGGAACACCGGUGGCGAAGGCGGCGACCUGGUCCUUUUACUGACGCUGAGGCGCGAAAGCGUGGGGAGCAAACAGG